AUGCCGAGGAAAGAGAGGCGGUCAGGUGUGGCAUACAUCCAGAAUGACAAAGACCGUGAUCUCACCUUCUACAAGCGACGUUCCGGUUUGUUCAAGAGGGCGUCUGACAUCUCUGCCCUUACUAGGGCUAGGGUUGCAGUCGUCCUAGAGACAAAGAAUGGAAAGAUGCACUCAUUUGGGACGCCAUUGGCCGAUCCCAUUGUUGAUGCUUUCCUAUUUGGAGCUCCACCAGCAGUUCCCUCCACCAAUGAGGCAACCACUGCUAGGAUUGGAAGCCUACAAAACGAGGUGGCUCAGUUGGACAUGGAGAACAUGACCGAGGAAGACCGAAAGAAACUUUCCAUCCUUCGUAUGAAAAGUAUCCAAGAAGAGAAUCCAAGUAUGGUGGCAAAUCUUAUCUUCACGAAGGAACAAGAUCUCGGUCUUGAAGCUCUAAAUAAGCUCUUCAGUGAGCUCUCUCGGGUCCAAAAAGACAUUAGAUGCCGUCUACCUCCAUUGCAUGGUCGUGAAGCCAAGACCAGUGGCACAUGUGUAGCACAAGAUCUGCAAGUACCAAGUGUUCUGCCGACAGAUCAUUUGGGUACUACUCAUUCACUAAUGCAUCCAUCGUGGCCUCACAAUCUCUUACAACUCCAGCCACCUGCAGAUCCACUACCAUCACAACCAGAACAAACUUCGGUACCACUUUUUCCUAUGCAGGUACCACAAAUGUUUGACUUUGCGCCACCAUCUUUAGCUCCACACUUGGCUUCCCAUGUCCAACCCAUACCAAAUCAGGUACAUGAGCAAACUCAACCCGAGGAGUUGCAUGUUCAGAACUAUGAAAGUCCUUGCAACAUAGUGCAACCACAACAAAGUGAUGCAAACCACGACUCAACGUCAGGGCAUAAUUUGGAGGCCUCUCCACUAUUUGGGUACUCGAGUGGCAAUGCUUUUUCUAUUGAUGACCCAUUUAACACUGAACAAUGGGGUCAUGCUCUAUCAGAUCAGUCGUUCUACAAUAGUUUCCUAGGGAUGGAUGAUUACUUAGGCUCUAGCGGUACUGAUCUAGGAUAG
This 1056-nucleotide ribosomal RNA is filed under the name Triticum aestivum (bread wheat). RNAcentral describes it as "partial small subunit ribosomal RNA". Lineage: Eukaryota; Viridiplantae; Streptophyta; Magnoliopsida; Poales; Poaceae. The record is from RNAcentral.